GAUGAACGCUGGCGGCGUGCUUAACACAUGCAAGUCGAACGGUGAAGGCGGAGCUUGCUCUGCUGGAUCAGUGGCGAACGGGUGAGUAACACGUGAGCAAUCUGCCCCUGACUCUGGGAUAAGCGCUGGAAACGGCGUCUAAUACUGGAUACGAGCUGCGAAGGCAUCUUCAGCAGCUGGAAAGAAUUUCGCUCAGGGAUGAGCUCGCGGCCUAUCAGCUUGUUGGUGAGGUAAUGGCUCACCAAGGCGUCGACGGGUAGCCGGCCUGAGAGGGUGAUCGGCCACACUGGGACUGAGACACGGCCCAGACUCCUACGGGAGGCAGCAGUGGGGAAUAUUGCACAAUGGGCGAAAGCCUGAUGCAGCAACGCCGCGUGAGGGACGACGGCCUUCGGGUUGUAAACCUCUUUUAGCAGGGAAGAAGCGAAAGUGACGGUACCUGCAGAAAAAGCGCCGGCUAACUACGUG
Molecule: ribosomal RNA, 468 nt
Filed under: uncultured bacterium
Lineage: Bacteria
Description: partial 16S ribosomal RNA
Rfam family: Bacterial small subunit ribosomal RNA
Source: RNAcentral